GGGGAGAGGUCUAGCAGGUGUCAGAGGCCCCGCCCCCGCCGCCCACCUCCUCAGGAAUUGGCUGCGUCGGUCCUAGGGGGCGGUCCCAGGGACGGAAGGAAGUCGAGGGUCGCGGGCGCGGGCUGCGCGGGGUUGCAGUCGCACGUGGACAACGCGCACCGCGCUCGCGUGGGGCCCGGGGCGGAGUUCCCCGUCCCCUUCCCUUUCCUUCCACACCCGCACGCGCGCCCUUCCUUCGUGGCUUGCCCUCCCCCCGCCUCCUGGGUCUAGCCCCUUCACUGGAGUGUGGGGCAGGCAGGCCUCCGGGCUCGCGUGCGCUUGUCCGAGCAGUCCCGGGCGGUGGGCGAGGGCGUGACCCGGAGGGGAAGGGGCGGGGGCUGGGAGAAGCGAAGGCGGCUCCUUCCUCCGCUGCCCUUCCCUCCUCUUCCCUCCCCGCCCCCGCCUCUUAGGCCCUCCUUUCCUUUUUUCUGUUCUCCCCUCUGCUUCCGGCUUCUUUCGGCUCCAGCAGGUAGAGCCCUCUCGGGGCGCGCGGGGCCUCAGCAGCUGCUCCCGACCUCGCCUCGGCCCAGCGCAGGGCCUCGCGCGCCCAUGGCCGGCUCUGCCCGGCGGUGGGACGAUGGAGAUUCAGACGUGGCGGCGGCGCCGCUGCAGGACGCGGAGCUGACCCUGGCCGGCAUCAACAUGCUGCUCAACUAGGGCUUCAGGGAGUCGGACCAGCUUUUCCAACAAUACAGAAAUAACUGAAGUCAAAUCUUUGCGUGUUAAAAACACAGGACUGUGGAAUUGUUUCGUCUAGGUUUAAAACCUGAUGCAUCAUUAACUAGCUUUGUUAUGUGAGGUAGAUGACUUAUUCUCUUGUUGUAUGUGUUUUGUCAUCUUGGAUAAUAAUGACCUUUGUGUCAUAGGGUUAAAUGCAUUACAUACACAACAAACAUUUAGUACAUGCCAAUGCAUAGGUCGCACACGAUACACAUUAGUAGUUAUAAUUGUCUGAUUUUUACUACUUUUUUCUUUGCAUUAUUUUUCAAUCUGGCCGUCUCUAACACAAGAUCUUGGGACAAGGAUCCAGUCUCUAGAAUCUGACAGACUGACGUUUAUAUUUAAGUCUAUCUUUUACCAACUAGACUGUCAUUGAAACUCUGUCAGAGUCAGCUUGCUUAUGUAGCAGAGGGGCACAGUUCCGAAUUCACUGGAUUGUUUUGCCCAUGUGAACAUGCACAUGAAGUAAAUGCUUUUGGAGGUACCUAUUUUUAGGUCACAUAUCUUUUUACUGAGAUUUGCAUGGCGACUUUUACCCAAAGGACUGGACACUCAGCAUCUGUAUUUCUCUUUACUCUAUUUCUCUGAUUAUCAUUGAUUAAUUUGAACCAGAUAGAAUGUGGGAUUCUGAAGUGUUUGGCUGAGCUUUUAAGAUAGGGAUGUUGCAUUUGAGGAUAUCUUUGACAUGUUUGUCCUUAACUGUACCAAAGAAAUAACAGUUUCUCAGGACAGACAGCCAGAAAAGGAGGUAGAGGGGUGAACGUCCACCUAGACGAGGGAGAAGACACUCAGCAUGAAACAGAAAAGAUAGAGUGUUUUUUCUUGGGUUCCAGAUAACUUCCUUUUUUUUUUUUUUUCCCCAAUUCCAUGGCACAUCUUAGAUUAAUUCCAAUUGAUUUUUUGUAUUAAUCUUGUAUGUGAUAGGUUUUCUUCAUAUAGCCAAAAUAUCCCAGAUUAAGAUGACAAGUAACUAGACCAUCUGUGGUAUUUUUAGUGUAGCCUAUGUUGUCUCACACCAGUGAGCAUUAGCAGAUUGCAUACAUCCAUUUUGAAGACCACAUCUAUUAUGAAAUUUGGAAAUGAACCGAUAAUACCAGGGAAUGGAAAAAGCAGGGAUGGCAAAUCUUUGGUGUACCCUUGACAGACAUCACUAGUCAAUCACAGCUUCUUUCCCCUUGAAUACAGAGAAAGUCUUGGAUUGCUUUUCAUUAUGAUGUCAGGAAGGCACUUAAUUUCAUUAAGAGUAGUGUGGGAUGUGGUACGAGAAAUAAGUCAAAGCAAAUGGUUUAGGGCUAACCCUGGAAAUAACUUCCCACGUAUACGUUCCAUGUGAUAUGUGGUGCAAGUGUAGUGUCUUAAAGGAGAUGGAUAAGAUGAACAUAAAGGUUGCAAAAACAUGUUUUACAUUGUUCUUGUUUCUAUGGGACUAAGUGAGAUCUGAGUGAAAAGGCAAGUACGUGAAAGUAAAACAAGUCACAUCAUAUUUUAUUAGGGGUCAAGUAAAUUUAACAGAUAAUGAGAGCAAUAGAUGGAAGAGGUCCUUUGCCCCAAGGACUUGGGAGACUGGCCAGGGAUGAUAGAUUGGGGAGAGGGCAUUAUAAAGGUGUUCAUGGGCACCAGGGAGCAAGCCUAGUUGUUUGGAGCAGACAUUCUUACCAGAAAACAAUGGAAAAUAGAAUUGACUGACCAAACAGGAAAUAAGUUGUAGAAAUCAUUGAAUGCAUACUAAGAAAUGAGGCCAUCUGUAGGCAAUGAAGAACAUUAGAAGAAUUCAAAUAUGUACUUGUAGGUAACAGAACUGAGAGGGAUCCUAAGAGAUCAAUUGGCCAACCCACUUCCUUAAUGCAGGUGUGUUCAUAUUAUUUUACUUGAAAGGAGUAGCUGAUUCUUUAUGCUCAAAAGGGAAUUUCUCAUGAUAGUAAGGAGAGAUGAGAUGGCUUGGUUCUUGACUGAAGGUUAUAUGCUUAUAUUAGUAUAUUGUGGUUUAUUGUGUAUAUAAGUUCAGUAUACACUUAGAGCAGGGUUUCUCAUCCUCAGCACUUUUGCCAUUUCGGACUAGAUAAUUUUUUGAGGCAGGAGGAGUCUGAAUUAUAGGGUGUUUAGAAGCUUCCCCGGCCUCUAUCUCUAGAAUGCCGGUAGUACCUGUACUUGUAGUUGUGACAACCAAAAAUCCAUCCAGAUGUUGCUAAAUGUCCUCUGUGGGUUAAAACGUUUUUUUCAGACAUUACUAAAUGUCCUCUGUACAUUAAAAGUAUCCCUGGUGGAGAACCACUGACUUGGAGCAAGAGUUUCUGUUUAAACUUGAAAUAGAGAAAGCACUUGCAUAGAGUUUAAAACAGAAUAUUGACACAUAAUUAGGUAGUGGUUUGCAGGAUAAAUUAGAGAAGGUAGAAAUGAGAGCCAGUGAGAGUAUGUGGGAAUUUAUCUUUAUCUCUCUGUGCAUAUGAGAAUUUCAUACUCUUAUUUCCCUCCAUGUUUUUUUUUUUUUCUUAACAGAAAGCAAGGCAACUGUCAAAGACAAUGAAAUAAUCAUGUCAGUUUAGAAGUGAGUAGAUGGGUUUAUAAGCUAAAGCUCUGUGCCUCUGAUAGUAAUAGAGGCCCUGAUUGUAACAGAAUAGCAGUAGUUGUAAUGGUAUUAGAAGCAGCAUUAAUCGUGCACUCAUAAUAGUACUUCUCACAAGAACCUUUAGAAAUGUUUGCUACUAUAGUUAUCCCCAUCCUGUCGACGCAGAAGCUGAGGUUUAGUGCUCAUCCAUGGCAGUGGUUGGGAUUCCACCUCCUGUCUGUCUUGCUUCCAGCAGUCUCUAUUGCUUCAUCCUGAAAUAAGUUUUGCAUUGCAAAUGGUCGAUAAGAAAAGGCGAUCUGAAUGGUCACACUAUGUUGUUUAAGUUAUGCCAUCCUUCCUGAAAUCUCACACUCUUUAUUUAGAGAGGUGAACAGAAAUUGUUCCCCUUAAGAAUGGCAUAAGCUGGUACAGUACUUAGAGCCCCAUCUGCUUAUAGAAGAAGUUUUUAAAAGAAAUGUUUCAGGCUUACAUCAUUUGUUUCAUGCCCCAGACAUCGACUCAGCUAUUUCUCUAAGGAGCCAUAAUUCAUUUUAGUGAGAAAUAAUACUUAGAAAUAACAAUCUGAGUGGUUAGGAUGUUCAUUGCUACUGCACUGACCAUUGUUUUUAGUCUUAUUCCUUGGAGAGAGCUGAAAACUUUUCUUCCCUUUAAAAAAAAAAAAAAAAAAAAAAAAAAAA
This is a long non-coding RNA of Sapajus apella (tufted capuchin), 4002 nucleotides long. RefSeq lists it as uncharacterized. Lineage: Eukaryota; Metazoa; Chordata; Mammalia; Primates; Cebidae. The transcript has 2 exons. The record is from RefSeq and is a predicted model, not a curated record.